Molecule: small nuclear RNA, 107 nt
Organism: Peromyscus leucopus (white-footed mouse)
Lineage: Eukaryota; Metazoa; Chordata; Mammalia; Rodentia; Cricetidae
Source: RefSeq, a predicted model, not a curated record
GUGCUCACUUCAGCAGUACAUAUACUAAAGUUGGAAUGAUACAGUGAAGAUUAGCAUGGCCCUGGCACAAGGAUGACACACAAAUUCAUGAAGCAUUCAACAUUUUU